RNAcentral lists this ribosomal RNA (271 nucleotides) under uncultured bacterium. Its description in RNAcentral is "partial 16S ribosomal RNA". It matches the Rfam family "Bacterial small subunit ribosomal RNA", at positions 74 to 339 of the family's 1533-position model. The record is from RNAcentral.
UUCGGGUGGACGAUGGAUCAGCUUAGUGGCGGACGGGUGAGUAACACGUGAGCAACCUGCCUACAAGAGGGGGACAACAGCUGGAAACGGCUGCUAAUACCGCAUAAGACCACGAUCCUGCAUGGGGAAGAGGUCAAAGGAGAAAUCCGCUUGUAGAUGGGCUCGCGUCCCAUUAGCUAGUUGGUAGGGUAAAGGCUUACCAAGGCGACGAUGGGUAGCCGACCUGAGAGGGUGAUCGGCCACACUGGAACUGAGACACGGUCCAGACUCC